UGUGCGUUCUUCAGACUGCCCGCUUGCCCAGAAUGCACCGCGGCCGCAUCUCAGGACAGCGCAAACGGAGCUCACAGCGGUAUGUUCAAAAUUCCCUUUUCUGCUGCUAUUGUUCUCCAAAGGUAAGUUUUCAGAUUGUUUGAGGCGAGAACAUUAUUCUUUUAAGCUUUCCUAUGUGGCCUGUUUACAGAGUUAGUGUGUAAUAAAAAAAAAACAAAAAACGACGUUGAGCGGAGCAGAGUGACCUACAGACCUCCGAGGGAAACCUGCGGUUCACUUCUCUCGGCCUAGUGGUGUGUGAACUACCGCUCGUUCUGAUGCCGUUUUUUGUUUUCAUUCGGCAAAACGUUAAUUUGCUUUGGGUUUGUCUGACUGACUUGUGUUGCUUUUUUAACUCAAUACUUGCUGGAAUAAAUUGGAAAUCUAUUUAUUCCCAAGGACGAUAUCAACAUCUAUACUAUAAUGGCUGAUGUUAUGGACAAACCGCAUAACUGGACAACAGAAGAAACACAUGCCCUCAUAAACUGGCGUAUUGCCAAUGAGGGCAUAUUUACUGGCAAGAGGAACUCGUCUAAAACUGGAUGGGAGUGAGUAGUUUUGAUUUCUGUCUGCCUAAAUGUCCAUUUUCAGCUCUUGUGAUGCUAAACCUGUUUUUAAUUCAACUAGUGAUUUUGUGAAAGCCUCUGGCCUGGAGGUCACUGCAAAGCAGGCCAAGAAGAAGUGGCACAAUUUAGUGCAGAAAUAUAAGGUAGUGGUGGAAAACAAUGAAAUGAAGCAGGAAGUGAACACGACUACAUCUGUUAAGUCAGAUGUAGUCGUGUUCACUUAAAAAUUCAGGCAGCUCUGCUGGACAAGAAAGCUGGGCUGCCAGUCUGGCUCGCAGGCAGCUUCCAGACAUCUCCCGGUCUUCAGCCGCUGGAUGACCAUCCUCCUCUGGGUCAACCUCCUCCUCCACAUCAACCUGGUCACCUGCCUCGAGACAAAUGUUGUGGAGGAUGCAGCAGGCGGCGAUGACUUUGGGGGCAAACGUCGGGCGGACCUCCAGCGCCUUAAAGAAGAUCGAUCGCCACCGUGUCUUCAGACCACCAAAGGCGCGCUCAACGAUGUUUCUCGCCUUGGCGUGGUGCCUGUUGUAGCGUGCCUCUACUUGGCCUGUACCAAAGAUAAAAUUAACUUUUAAUUUAGGUCAUAUGUCUCAAUGUUCUAUCCAAUUAGUAUAAUCUUUGGAUCAAUUGUGUGUCAUUGUUGGCUCUAUUUAUGAACAAGAAGGUAAGAGAUCUUACUGGCAACUGGCUGACGAUAGGGCGUCAGGAGGGUGAUCGGGUACCGGAGGCAUGGGUACCCACCAUCACCGAGUAGAAAAAAGCCCUCAGGUGGGUAUAAGGAGUUUUUGUACAACGGCGAGCGCCGCAGUACUAGUGCAUCAUGGACAGAGCCGACAUUGCCAAUGUAAACGUCCAAAAACUUUCCACCUGCAUCACACACACCCUGCAGAAUGAUUGAGGGGAAGAGUUUUCUGUUCACAUAACAUCUCUUUUGUGGCUCUGCAGGUGGAACAAUUCGGACAUGACACCCAUCGAUGGCACCAACUGCUGCCCUAAAGGCCUCGUUCCCGGCAAGGCGUGCAAAACCAGCCCCCACUCCCUCCAAAUCUUGGGGUUUUGGCAGGGAAAUAAUUUUUUGAAUGAUGCCCAUCAGGGAGUUGACAACUCUGUGCACCACCCGGCACACAGUGGACAGGGGCAUCCCAAAGAUGUCCGCUGUUGCCCUGUAGGACACACCACAGGCCAGCCAGUAAAGGGUCACCAGCACCUCUAUUUCCUGUGGCCAUCCAUGGGCCUUCUGGAGGGGCAGCAGCUGAAGGAGGAGGACGAUGGUGGCCCUGUUUAGCCUGAAGGCUGGUCUCAGGUCUCCUUCAUUAAAAAAUAGUUGGAGGAUUGGUACCGAGGUAUUUAUCCUCACAUAUUUUGUUGCUUUUUCUUCCUGUAAAUAAAAAAGUCCAAAUGUUACCAAA
This is a long non-coding RNA of Fundulus heteroclitus (mummichog), 2014 nucleotides long. RefSeq lists it as uncharacterized. NCBI's taxonomy places the organism in Eukaryota, Metazoa, Chordata, Actinopteri, Cyprinodontiformes, Fundulidae. The record is from RefSeq and is a predicted model, not a curated record. The transcript has 3 exons.